This 232-nucleotide unclassified non-coding RNA is filed under the name Hevea brasiliensis (rubber tree). Lineage: Eukaryota; Viridiplantae; Streptophyta; Magnoliopsida; Malpighiales; Euphorbiaceae. The record is from RNAcentral.
AACUCUGGAAACGACUUACCAGUUAUCGACCUUGCAACUGUUUCACCCGAGUUAGCGUACUUGGCCAGUGAUGCAGACUUGGUCAUAUUGGAAGGAAUGGGGCGGGCAAUAGAAACAAACCUUUACGCUCAACUGAAAUGUGAUUCAAUCAAGAUUGGAAUGGUGAAGCACCAAGAGGUUGCUCAGUUCCUCGGAGGAAGGCUUUAUGAUUGCGUAUUCAAGUACAACGAGG